AUUGAACGCUGGCGGCAGGCCUAACACAUGCAAGUCGAGCGGAUGAAGGGAGCUUGCUCCUGGAUUCAGCGGCGGACGGGUGAGUAAUGCCUAGGAAUCUGCCUGGUAGUGGGGGAUAACGUCCGGAAACGGGCGCUAAUACCGCAUACGUCCUGAGGGAGAAAGUGGGGGAUCUUCGGACCUCACGCUAUCAGAUGAGCCUAGGUUGGAUUAGCUAGUUGGUGGGGUAAAGGCCUGCCAAGGCGACGAUCCGUAACUGGUCUGAGAGGAUGAUCAGUCACACUGGAACUGAGACACGGUCCAGACUCCUACGGGAGGCAGCAGUGGGGAAUAUUGGACAAUGGGCGAAAGCCUGAUCCAGCCAUGCCGCGUGUGUGAAGAAGGUCUUCGGAUUGUAAAGCACUUUAAGUUGGGAGGAAGGGCAGUAAGUUAAUACCUUGCUGUUUUGACGUUACCAACAGAAUAAGCACCGGCUAACUUCGUG
This 484-nucleotide ribosomal RNA is filed under the name uncultured bacterium. RNAcentral describes it as "partial 16S ribosomal RNA". It matches the Rfam family "Bacterial small subunit ribosomal RNA", at positions 30 to 507 of the family's 1533-position model. The record is from RNAcentral.